CUGCUUUCCCAGUAGUCUGCAUACUUGUAUCUAUUUGUAAUUGUGAAUGUAAUGUUGGCCUUUUCCAUUAGAUGGAAGUUCCAUGAAAACGGGACCAUGAGUUUCAUCCACUGUAUUCUUAGCUCCUGGCACAUGGCAGGCACUCAGGGAAAGUAUGUAGCCUUAUGAACUGACUGAUCUGAGGGAGGUACUUUUGUAAGCCAUAGUAUUGGUCACUGGCAUGAGGCCACCUACUGGCUCCCUGCCAUCCAGCCCUGGGAGUAGCAUGAAGCAGCAUGGCACUGGCCUCCUGGAAGCUUGGAGAGGAGUCUUACCCAAGCUUUGCUCCUAGACAUUAAACUUCCCAGCUGGGCACUAACGUGGCUGCAGAACCUGCCCUUGCUCAGUCCGUCCCUGGUGCAGCUGCUGGGAGAGCCUGCCUCGAGGCAGAGCCAGCAGAGCUGUUGAAGAGCUGGUUGUGCUCCUCCUCAACCCCACCCCCACAGGCUGCCUUUGACCAGCGCAUGAAGACAUGGCAGCGCUGGCAGGAUGCCCAAGCCACACUGCAGAAGAAGCGGGAGGCCGAGGCUCGGCUGCUGUGGGCCAACAAGCCUGAUAAGCUGCAGCAGGCCAAGGACGAGAUCCUCGAGUGGGAGUCUCGGGUGACUCAAUAUGAAAGGGACUUCGAGAGGAUUUCAACAGUGGUCCGAAAAGAAGUGAUACGGUUUGA
RNAcentral lists this small RNA (709 nucleotides) under Pongo abelii (Sumatran orangutan). Its description in RNAcentral is "retained intron". The record is from RNAcentral. Lineage: Eukaryota; Metazoa; Chordata; Mammalia; Primates; Hominidae.